GGGGACACAGCAUGGAACGGCCUGGAGGAGGGUUGCAAGGCAGAGCCCCUGCAUGGAAGAGCCAGACCCGAGGCUGCCACACUGAGACUCGGCGCCUGCAACAGUUCACUCAGACUCAGCGCCUGCAACAGCAGACCCAGGUACUCCACUUGAUGCUUCACCCUACAAAGAAAACAGAGAGAAAAUGGAGCCCAUGCACGACUGGAGAGUUCUGCAGCCCCAUUCUUCCAACGCCCAACACACUAAGUUGAGAUGCAAGAAAAUAUAUUGGAAGAGUAAAAUUCAGACUCCUCAGACUCAGGGUUGGUCUCUCAGGUUCAAUAUUACUUUUAUAAAUGUUUUACUAUGAUAUGCAAUUAUAUUAUACUUGACAAUA
Molecule: long non-coding RNA, 376 nt
Organism: Sorex fumeus (smoky shrew)
Lineage: Eukaryota; Metazoa; Chordata; Mammalia; Eulipotyphla; Soricidae
Exons: 2
Source: RefSeq, a predicted model, not a curated record